Long non-coding RNA from Coccinella septempunctata (seven-spotted ladybird), 483 nucleotides. RefSeq lists it as uncharacterized. The record is from RefSeq and is a predicted model, not a curated record. The transcript is spliced from 2 exons. Lineage: Eukaryota; Metazoa; Arthropoda; Insecta; Coleoptera; Coccinellidae.
UACAUUCCGAAGAAGCAACUCCUCAUGUUUGGGGUAGGCACUUAAACUUAAGCAAUGCUUCACAUUCGAAGCCUUUUAACAAUUUUGCAAGCUUAUCCCCUGUUGGGCUCCACAACAGAUAAAUGAUCUUUGAAUGUUUUGGCUUCUUAGGUUUUCUUCCAAGCACAUAAAUAUCUACAUAUACAGUUGGAGGGAGAGAAAACUGGUAUUAACCCUGCUGAAUUGGAAAAUCAUGACUCAAUAGAAAGGUCUGUCGAAGCUGCCAGUUGCUGCAUGAAAAAGGGCAUCAAAAUCGAUGCUGAUAUUCUGAGAAAUGGCAAGAAAGUAUAAGUUCUGUGGUAGCGAUGACUAAUCAGGUUGCAACUGUUCUGACCCGUCGGAUUUUUUCCAGGAAAUCAAUUAGAUUGUGUGAACUUGAAUGUGAAUGAAACAUUGAAACUGUAUAGUAUAUGUGGCAGGUCGUAAUAAAGAAGGUAAGAGAUA